Long non-coding RNA from Spinacia oleracea (spinach), 668 nucleotides. RefSeq lists it as uncharacterized. NCBI's taxonomy places the organism in Eukaryota, Viridiplantae, Streptophyta, Magnoliopsida, Caryophyllales, Amaranthaceae. The transcript is spliced from 2 exons. The record is from RefSeq and is a predicted model, not a curated record.
CCAAACAUUGAAAACUCAAUUUUUCUCUCUUCAAGCCACUCAAACCCCAUUGUUAUUCAUGAAAACCUUUUCUCUACUUCCUACUCAUCCCACUAAACAAAUUCUUAGAAUCAACCAUAAAUUCGAACCCCUAUCAUAUCAUAAAUUUUCAAAGUUAAGACCCACAUUUUCAAUUUCGCAUUAAUACCAUCACCAUUGAAGGAGAUGACCAAGCUCGAGAGAGCAAGUGGAGUGGGUCUAAUUCGGCUAGUUUUUCGGUGAAGGGGUACUUAAUUUCUUGGUUCAAUUGGUCUUUGGGAAUUUCUGAUGAAGAAGGAGAAGAAGAAGAUUAGGGCAGAGAUCAUUGCUUUGAAGAUCAUUCGACGUUGAGAACUCGAAUCCGAUGAUAAAAUCGAGAUUGUGGUGGAGGAACAAAUCAUGGGUAUGAGGCGCUAUUAUAGGGGUUCUAAUUAUGUUGAACCUUGGAAGUACUUUUUUUAAUAUUUUUGCAUUUUAUAAAGUCGAGUAGGUAAGAUUUGGCUUAACACUUGAACAACAAUAUAACGACAUGUCAACCACCUUGACCCAAUUGCCAGACGUAUUUUUAUGUAAAUGUCCAUAUAGAACUAAUCCGUAUAAGUUAUUUGUUAUUCGGAUGUCACUCGCUUAUUAAGCUAAGGUUUGCCUGA